RNAcentral lists this ribosomal RNA (670 nucleotides) under Bacillus anthracis (anthrax bacterium). RNAcentral describes it as "bacterial SSU rRNA". It matches the Rfam family "Bacterial small subunit ribosomal RNA", at positions 46 to 700 of the family's 1533-position model. Lineage: Bacteria; Bacillati; Bacillota; Bacilli; Caryophanales; Bacillaceae. The record is from RNAcentral.
GCUAUAAUGCAGUCGAGCGAAUGGAUUAAGAGCUUGCUCUUAUGAAGUUAGCGGCGGACGGGUGAGUAACACGUGGGUAACCUGCCCAUAAGACUGGGAUAACUCCGGGAAACCGGGGCUAAUACCGGAUAACAUUUUGAACUGCAUGGUUCGAAAUUGAAAGGCGGCUUCGGCUGUCACUUAUGGAUGGACCCGCGUCGCAUUAGCUAGUUGGUGAGGUAACGGCUCACCAAGGCAACGAUGCGUAGCCGACCUGAGAGGGUGAUCGGCCACACUGGGACUGAGACACGGCCCAGACUCCUACGGGAGGCAGCAGUAGGGAAUCUUCCGCAAUGGACGAAAGUCUGACGGAGCAACGCCGCGUGAGUGAUGAAGGCUUUCGGGUCGUAAAACUCUGUUGUUAGGGAAGAACAAGUGCUAGUUGAAUAAGCUGGCACCUUGACGGUACCUAACCAGAAAGCCACGGCUAACUACGUGCCAGCAGCCGCGGUAAUACGUAGGUGGCAAGCGUUAUCCGGAAUUAUUGGGCGUAAAGCGCGCGCAGGUGGUUUCUUAAGUCUGAUGUGAAAGCCCACGGCUCAACCGUGGAGGGUCAUUGGAAACUGGGAGACUUGAGUGCAGAAGAGGAAAGUGGAAUUCCAUGUGUAGCGGUGAAAUGCGUAGAGAUAUG